GGCGGAUGUAGCCAAGUGGGUCAAGGCAGU
RNAcentral lists this transfer RNA (30 nucleotides) under Carludovica palmata (Panama-hat palm). RNAcentral describes it as "partial tRNA-His". The record is from RNAcentral. RNAcentral also lists the same sequence under 5 other names. Lineage: Eukaryota; Viridiplantae; Streptophyta; Magnoliopsida; Pandanales; Cyclanthaceae.